UUGAAAUUUUCUCGUAUUUCCUUUCUAAGAGGCUGCAAUCGACGAGACCAUAACAUCAUUUUAAAAAUGCAAAGAGAAGACUAAUCAAGCUUCCUAUCGAUGGAUAAACUUUAGAAAUGCGUGUAUCGGUUUGCAGCGUUACAGACUUGCCGUCGUACGUUACUCAUUACAUGGAAAACCACUGAACGUCCUUUCUUGAGAACUUUGAUGAUUUUUCUUUUGCGUGUGAAGAAUAUUUUGUGAAAAUUUCAAGCCAUUAUGUUGGUACGGUUUCCUUUAAAAAAAUUAAAUAUGAGCGGAGAUUUUGAGGAACCGCAACCGAAAAACGCAUUUUUGCAGUUUCACCGUCGUUAUUUUUACUUGCACAGGUAAUAUUUGACAAAAAAUAAUUGAUCUCAAAAUUUUGAGGAGUGGUCUGGCGAGAUUUGAUUAAGAGCUAUAAUUCUUUCACUUCAGAGAAAGACUUGUAAGCACACAUGCCACCCAAAAAUAUUCAUCGGAUCUUAGUGAGACUGAGAAUUGAAAUUACCUUUAAUUCAUACAAGGGAGCUUGAUCUACAUGUAGAACAUCAGGUAUUAAUCCAGCCUUUUCCAGAACUUCCUUCACAUCAUGCUUGGCCCAUUCAGAUUUUACCAUUUUAUCUCAAAAUAACCGAGAAAUCUAUCACUUAACAAAUUACUACACCACAAAACAGAAAAUAUGAAUAACACUUCGUAUUCCUUAAAAUCAUCCUACAUAUACCAAUUUUUUUUAUUAUUUUCCACUUAAACUCCACAUACUAAUUGUUUUUUUCGUAAACGAUGACCAAGGCACGUCAUCUACAUUUAAAAGAAACAAAAACUGCGAACUACAUGAAUCAUUGGGAAAUCUGGAUCAAUGAUGAAGUUCCAUCCAAACUUUCACCAUUUUGGGGCCUUUUUACAUGAAAGCAUGCCUGAUGUAUGGAGAACCUACUUGACCUAAUUAAACGGUACGUAAACUUUUUUUAUAGAGUGAUUUUUUAUUUUAUUUAUCCGAAUUUUUAGAAUUCACCCUUACCAAACAUCUUGACCGACUCUUACAACGAAUCGUAUAGAUAGAGAUACACAGCAUAAAUAAUUACUAAGAUUUUUGUCGCAAAAUAUGCUCGAUCCUUCGCCACACCCCAUAAUGUACCCACGCGAUGGAUCAACUGGGCCGAUCACAGAAUUGUUUUUUGAUAAUUUAACAUUAUAGAUUAGCAAAAAUGUUCAAACGCAAAGUUGCUACGUCCAACAAUAACGGAGAUACUGCUUAUCGAAAAUCACGGCGUAUGACGUCAUUAUUCAGGUGACGUAGCAUGGUGUUAACGAACCCAAAAUCUGAUCGCACGGAGUCAAUAAUUGUUGACGUCGCAAUGGGCAACGCAGAAAUGGGCCCUGAUCAUGAGGUCAACUAACAAAAAAAUAUCUUCCUUAUGAGUAAAAUUUAAACAAGCUGGUUUGCAAUCGCAGUGCGAUAGCAAUACUCGGCAUGGGAACUUGAGAAAU
Molecule: long non-coding RNA, 1509 nt
Filed under: Bemisia tabaci
Lineage: Eukaryota; Metazoa; Arthropoda; Insecta; Hemiptera; Aleyrodidae
Description: lncRNA ENSSWEETPG010411
Source: RNAcentral